GCCAGUGUGGUGCAGUGGUUUGAGUGUUGGACUAGGACUCCAGAGAUCAGAGUUAGAUUCCUCACUCAAGCA
Non-coding RNA from Phrynosoma platyrhinos (Desert horned lizard), 72 nucleotides. NCBI's taxonomy places the organism in Eukaryota, Metazoa, Chordata, Lepidosauria, Squamata, Phrynosomatidae. The record is from the annotation of a GenBank genome assembly.